Pteropus vampyrus (large flying fox) is the source of this 72-nucleotide microRNA precursor. The record is from Ensembl. Lineage: Eukaryota; Metazoa; Chordata; Mammalia; Chiroptera; Pteropodidae.
AGUCAGCCUGUGCUUUGAAGCUUUCGAGCCAGGCAUUGACUUCUCUCUAGCUAAGAAAGUCCGAGAUGGCAU